UGGCUCUCGCAUCGAUGAAGAACGCAGCGAAAUGCGAUACGUAAUGUGAAUUGCAGAAUUUUGUGAAUCAUCGAAUCUUUGAACGCAUAUUGCACUCUCUGGUAUUCCGGAGAGUACACCUGUUUCAGUAUCAAAAAUGUCUUCCAAAGUUUUGGUUUGUUUUUAUAUAUACCAAGUCUUAUGGGUUUUGGGUUUUGCAGAACGUUUCGUUCGGCUGGCCUUAAAUUAUUUUAGCCAUAAAAGUCUCGGAUAGGGCGUAAUAGUUGGUACUUUUGGGUCCAUCCCUUUCGCUGAAGCCAAUCUUUUUAACUUCUGGCUCAAAAAAUAUAUGGAAAAAUGAAAUAUAUAUAUAUUUCAUCAUUGUUUAGAUCUGAAAUCAGGUGGGACUACCCGCUGA
Molecule: unclassified non-coding RNA, 397 nt
Filed under: uncultured fungus
Lineage: Eukaryota; Fungi
Description: partial contains 5.8S ribosomal RNA and internal transcribed spacer 2
Rfam family: 5.8S ribosomal RNA (bases 1-133)
Source: RNAcentral